Molecule: unclassified non-coding RNA, 432 nt
Filed under: soil metagenome
Description: partial contains 5.8S ribosomal RNA, internal transcribed spacer 2, and large subunit ribosomal RNA
Rfam family: 5.8S ribosomal RNA (bases 1-120)
Source: RNAcentral
GAUGAAGAACGCAGCGAAAUGCGAUACGUAAUGUGAAUUGCAGAAUUCAGUGAAUCAUAGAAUCUUUGAACGCAUAUUGCGCUCUCUGGUAUUCCGGAGAGCAUGCUUGUUUGAGUAUCAGUAAACACCUCAACUUCCAUAUCUUUUUUGAAAUGGGAGUUGGACUUGAGUGAUCCCAACGCUUUUCCUCACCGAAAAGUGGCGGGUUACUUGAAAUGCAGGUGCAGCUGGACUUUUCUCUGAGCUAUAAGCAUAUCUAUUUAGUCUGCCUAAAAAACAGAUUAUUACCUUUGCUGCAGCUAACAUAAAGGAGAUUAGUUCUUGUGCUGACUGAUGCAGGAUUCACAAAGACGGCUUCGGCCGACUUUGUAAACUCGAUCUCAAAUCAAGUAAGACUACCCGCUGAACUUAAGCAUAUCAAUAAGCGGAGGA